This 1131-nucleotide long non-coding RNA is filed under the name Lupinus angustifolius (narrow-leaved blue lupine). Its description in RNAcentral is "long non-coding RNA (LANG_LNC000302)". The record is from RNAcentral. Lineage: Eukaryota; Viridiplantae; Streptophyta; Magnoliopsida; Fabales; Fabaceae.
UUUAUUAAAUAUAUUACAUUCUUUUUAACUAGUGAGGGACAAAUCAAACUACUUUAUAAUAUGGUAUUUGAUGACCUGUAAUAACACUUGUUUCUACAUGUUGGAAACUUGCAAAUUGGCAAUUAAAUACAGAUUAUCAAAUCUUUCACAAUGGGUCCCAUGCCACUUGCGUUGUGAUAGCAAGGACCAAAUCCAAUGAACCACAGGCCACAAUCUGUUAUAAAUGCAACCAUUUCUUCACUUCACAUUCCUCCUAUUCAAUAACUCUACCUAAAUCACAAACACCACAUUCAUUCAAUUCUCAACAUUUAAAUACUUCAACAACAAGGUGUUGAUUAGUUCCAAAAAAACCAAAGUUCCCAUUUUCUCCUCUGCUUACGUCACUAUCGUUGCCGGAAUCUAGCGCAAACUAACCACCACCAUAUCCGGCGGCGGCUGAGAGAAACAUGAUCUUCGAGGGGCUAAAAAGGAAAACGAGCAUAAGAAGAAAAGAAAUGGGGCGUUGUUUUAGCUUAGGGGCUGUCUUGAUCAUGGCGGUGUUGACGGCGUCGAUGGUGGUGCUGCCGCUAGUGUUGCCGCCGCUUCCUCCUCCGCCUUUGGCCUUCCUCUUCUUUCCCGUCGGAAUAAUGGCGGCGCUCAUGUUGCUUGCGUUUUCGCCUUCUCAGGCUUCGGGAAACGUCGUCGUUUAUUCGUCUUAGGGAAAAUAAUAAUCGAAAUAGCUAAUUGAUACCACAUUUUUGGGUUUCUUGAAUGUUCUGUAUCUGUAUCUGAAAUUAGGUGCCACAUUUGUUACUUGUAGUUGCCACAUUUGUUUUUGUUUUUUGAAGAAAUGAAAAGGAAAUAUUCAUUGUAUUGCGAUAUGAAAUAUUUCAUUCAGUUUAAUUUAUAUUUCGUUAAGGUAAAGUUUGUUUAUAAAGUUAUUCAAUUAUUAUUACCCAUUAGUUAAUAAAAUGAUGAACACAUGUAUGGAGGAUGAGAAAAGAGUAGAGCGAGUAAAUAAAGAGAGGCAAGACUCAAUGGGAAUGAAUUUCUUUUUUUCAUUUUGCUAGAGAUUAUGGUGAAAGAAAAUAAAAGUGGUAAUGUGCACAACUUUUGGUUUCUUGAUUAGAGACAGAAGAGAUGCUAGCAAAG